Molecule: ribosomal RNA, 253 nt
Filed under: uncultured bacterium
Lineage: Bacteria
Description: partial 16S ribosomal RNA
Rfam family: Bacterial small subunit ribosomal RNA
Source: RNAcentral
UACGGAGGGUGCAAGCGUUGUUCGGAAUUACUGGGCGUAAAGCGCGUGUAGGCGGUUUGGUAAGUCAGAUGUGAAAGCCCUGAGCUCAACUCAGGAAGUGCAUUUGAAACUGCCAUACUCGAGUAUGGGAGAGGAGAGUGGAAUUCCCAGUGUAGAGGUGAAAUUCGUAGAUAUUGGGAGGAACACCCGUGGCGAAGGCGACUCUCUGGACCAAUACUGACGCUGAGACGCGAAAGCGUGGGGAGCAAAGAGG